Sitophilus oryzae (rice weevil) is the source of this 468-nucleotide long non-coding RNA. RefSeq lists it as uncharacterized. NCBI's taxonomy places the organism in Eukaryota, Metazoa, Arthropoda, Insecta, Coleoptera, Curculionidae. The transcript is spliced from 3 exons. The record is from RefSeq and is a predicted model, not a curated record.
ACCAAAAAAAAAGGAGGCAAAAUCUUAUUAAGUCAAUGUUACGCAAAUAUGACUUCAAUAUUGUACAUUAAACUGGAUUCAGACCAAAGUGAUUUUUUAUUAUCCUCUGUACAUCAUCAAAGUAGUAGUAUCUCUGGUAGUAUCAUUGAAGAUUUCUGUUCUGAUAAGUGUAGUUCCAGUGCUGAAAUUUCUUACAAUAUAGUAUUUAUAUAGGUAUUUAUAAUUAUUAGGUUCGAGAAUUAUCUAGACUUGGUGGUUCAGGAGUAGCACAAAGUACAAGGAAAAUGCUUUAUAAGGUUCUGGGCAAUGAAAUUGCACAAAAAUAUUCUUGGGAUGGGGCCAAAACAGAAGAGAAGUUUGAAAUCAUUGUUAGUGGCCAAAAGCAAUUUUAGACUCCAUGAAAGGUCAAUUUCAAGAGUCAAAAGAAACCGAAAUUAUCAAUAUAAUUAAAAUAUGGCUUGUAAAAAC